RNAcentral lists this microRNA precursor (97 nucleotides) under Nicotiana sylvestris (wood tobacco). RNAcentral's name for it is "MIR6152 microRNA precursor family". It matches the Rfam family "MIR6152 microRNA precursor family". RNAcentral also lists the same sequence under 1 other name. Lineage: Eukaryota; Viridiplantae; Streptophyta; Magnoliopsida; Solanales; Solanaceae. The record is from Rfam by way of RNAcentral.
UGGACAGAUUAUUGUAUUCGACUGUAUUCACGGUGUGAAAUAGGGGAGUACACUGUUUUUAAAACGGAAAGUGAAUCAAUUAACAUAAUAGACUCCU